RNAcentral lists this ribosomal RNA (253 nucleotides) under uncultured bacterium. RNAcentral's name for it is "partial 16S ribosomal RNA". It matches the Rfam family "Bacterial small subunit ribosomal RNA", at positions 524 to 776 of the family's 1533-position model. The record is from RNAcentral.
UACGUAGGGCGCAAGCGUUAUCCGGAAUUAUUGGGCGUAAAGAGCUCGUAGGUGGUUUGUCACGUUGUUCGUGAAAACUCACAGCUCAACUGUGGGCGUGCGGGCGAUACGGGCAGACUUGAGUACUGCAGGGGAGACUGGAAUUCCUGGUGUAGCGGUGGAAUGCGCAGAUAUCAGGAGGAACACCGGUGGCGAAGGCGGGUCUCUGGGCAGUAACUGACGCUGAGGAGCGAAAGCGUGGGGAGCGAACAGG